RNAcentral lists this ribosomal RNA (397 nucleotides) under Clostridioides difficile. Its description in RNAcentral is "bacterial SSU rRNA". It matches the Rfam family "Bacterial small subunit ribosomal RNA", at positions 1018 to 1416 of the family's 1533-position model. Lineage: Bacteria; Bacillati; Bacillota; Clostridia; Peptostreptococcales; Peptostreptococcaceae. The record is from RNAcentral.
UUCGGGGACAUUGGUGACAGGUGGUGCAUGGUUGUCGUCAGCUCGUGUCGUGAGAUGUUGGGUUAAGUCCCGCAACGAGCGCAACCCUUGUCUUUAGUUGCCAUCAUUAAGUUGGGCACUCUAGAGAGACUGCCAGGGAUAACCUGGAGGAAGGUGGGGAUGACGGCAAAUCAGCAUGCCCCUUAUGCUUAGGGCUACACACGUGCUACAAUGGGUAGUACAGAGGGUUGCCAAGCCGUAAGGGGGAGCUAAUCCCUUAAAGCUACUCUCAGUUCGGAUUGUAGGCUGAAACUCGCCUACAUGAAGCUGGAGUUACUAGUAAUCGCAGAUCAGAAUGCUGCGGUGAAUGCGUUCCCGGGUCUUGUACACACCGCCCGUCACACCACGGGAGUUGGAG